RNAcentral lists this ribosomal RNA (461 nucleotides) under uncultured bacterium. RNAcentral describes it as "partial 16S ribosomal RNA". It matches the Rfam family "Bacterial small subunit ribosomal RNA", at positions 338 to 795 of the family's 1533-position model. The record is from RNAcentral.
CCUACGGGAGGCAGCAGUGAGGAAUAUUGGUCAAUGGGCGCGAGCCUGAACCAGCCAAGUCGCGUGAGGGAAGACGGCCCUACGGGUUGUAAACCUCUUUUGCCGGGGAGCAACGGGCGCCACGUGUGGCGCCACUGAGAGUACCCGGAGAACAAGCAUCGGCUAACUCCGUGCCAGCAGCCGCGGUAAUACGGAGGAUCCGAGCGUUAUCCGGAUUUAGUGGGUUUAAAGGGAGCGUAGAUGGGUUGUUAAGUCAGUUGUGAAAGUUUGCGGCUCAACCGUAAAAUUGCAAUUGAUACUGGCAGUCUGGAGUACAGUUGAGGCAGGCGGAAUUCGUGGUGUAGCGGUGAAAUGCGUAGAUAUCACGAAGAACUCCGAUUGCGAAGGCAGCUUACUAAACUGCCACUGACAUUGAUGCUCGAAAGUGUGGGUAUCAAACAGGAUUAGAUACCCGUGUAGUC